Molecule: ribosomal RNA, 492 nt
Filed under: uncultured bacterium
Lineage: Bacteria
Description: partial 16S ribosomal RNA
Rfam family: Bacterial small subunit ribosomal RNA
Source: RNAcentral
AGUGAACGCUGGCGGUAGGCCUAACACAUGCAAGUCGAACGGCAGCACAGUAAGAGCUUGCUCUUACGGGUGGCGAGUGGCGGACAGGUGAGGAAUACAUCGGAAUCUACUUUUUCGUGGGGGAUAACGUAGGGAAACUUACGCUAAUACCGCAUACGGCCUACGGGUGAAAGCAGGGGAUCUUCGGACCUUGCGCGAUUGAAUGAGCCGAUGUCGGAUUAGCUAGUUGGCGGGGUAAAGGCCCACCAAGGCGACGAUCCGUAGCUGGUCUGAGAGGAUGAUCAGCCACACUGGAACUGAGACACGGUCCUGACUCCUACGGGAGGCAGCAGUGGGGAAUAUUGGACAAUGGGCGCAAGCCUGAUCCAGCCAUACCGCGUGGGUGAAGAAGGCCUUCGGGUUGUAAAGCCCUUUUGUUGGGAAAGAAAAGCAGCAGGUUAAUACCCCGCUGUUCUGACGGUACCCAAAGAAUAAGCACCGGCUAACUUCGUG